AGAGUUUGAUCAUGGCUCAGAAUCAACGCUGGCGGCGUGCCUCAGACAUGCAAGUCGAACGCGAAAGUUCCCUUCGGGGAGCAAGUAGAGUGGCGCACGGGUGAGUAACACGUAGGUAAUCCACCUUUGGAUGGGGUAUAACAAUCGGAAACGGUUGCUAAUACCGCAUAAUGCAGCGGCACCUAAUGGUGACAGUUGUUAAAGCGGGGGAUCGAAAGACCUCGCGUCUGAAGAGGAGCCUGCGGCGGAUUAGCUAGUUGGUAAGGUAACGGCUUACCAAGGCUAUGAUCCGUAGCCGGCCUGAGAGGGCGGUCGGCCACACUGACACUGACAUACGGGUCAGACUCCUACGGGAGGCAGCAGUCGGGAAUUUUGGGCAAUGGGCGAAAGCCUGACCCAGCAACGCCGCGUGAAGGAUGAAAUCCCUCGGGAUGUAAACUUCGCAAGAACGGGAAGAAUAAGUGAAAGUUAAUAUCUUUCAUGAUGACGGUACCGUUUGUAAGCUCCGGCUAACUCCGUGCCAGCAGCCGCGGUAAUACGGGGGGAGCAAGCGUUGUUCGGAUUUACUGGGCGUAAAGGGCGCGUAGGCGGCCACCGCAAGUCGAUUGUGAAAUCUCCGGGCUUAACCCGGAAAGGUCAACCGAUACUGCGGGGCUAGAGUGCGGAAGGGGCAACUGGAAUUCUUGGUGUAGCGGUGAAAUGCGUAGAUAUCAAGAGGAACACCUGCGGCGAAGGCGGGUUGCUGGGCCGACACUGACGCUGAUGCGCGAAAGCUAGGGGAGCGAACGGGAUUAGAUACCCCGGUAGUCCUAGCCUUAAACGAUGAAUGCUUGGUGUCUGGGGUUUAUAGUCCCCGGGUGCCGUCGCUAACGCUUUAAGCAUUCCGCCUGGGGAGUACGGUCGCAGACUGAAACUCAAGGAAUUGACGG
RNAcentral lists this ribosomal RNA (929 nucleotides) under uncultured bacterium. RNAcentral's name for it is "bacterial SSU rRNA". It matches the Rfam family "Bacterial small subunit ribosomal RNA", at positions 8 to 916 of the family's 1533-position model. The record is from RNAcentral.